CUAAAUAUAGUAUAAUUUAUUAUAAUUCGCUUACAACGAAUAGAUACAAUAAGUUAUUUAGU
RNAcentral lists this transfer RNA (62 nucleotides) under Dolicheulota formosensis. RNAcentral describes it as "tRNA-Val". The record is from RNAcentral. Lineage: Eukaryota; Metazoa; Mollusca; Gastropoda; Stylommatophora; Camaenidae.